This 449-nucleotide ribosomal RNA is filed under the name uncultured bacterium. RNAcentral describes it as "partial 16S ribosomal RNA". It matches the Rfam family "Bacterial small subunit ribosomal RNA", at positions 29 to 523 of the family's 1533-position model. The record is from RNAcentral.
AGCGAACGCUGGCGGCAGGCCUAACACAUGCAAGUCGAACGGAUCCUUCGGGAUUAGUGGCGGACGGGUGAGUAACACGUGGGAACGUGCCCUUUGGUUCGGAACAACUCAGGGAAACUUGAGCUAAUACCGGAUGUGCCCUUCGGGGGAAAGAUUUAUCGCCAUUGGAGCGGCCCGCGUCUGAUUAGCUAGUUGGUGGGGUAAAGGCCCACCAAGGCGACGAUCAGUAGCUGGUCUGAGAGGAUGAUCAGCCACAUUGGGACUGAGACACGGCCCAAACUCCUACGGGAGGCAGCAGUGGGGAAUCUUGCGCAAUGGGCGAAAGCCUGACGCAGCCAUGCCGCGUGAAUGAUGAAGGUCUUAGGAUUGUAAAAUUCUUUCACCGGGGACGAUAAUGACGGUACCCGGAGAAGAAGCCCCGGCUAACUUCGUGCCAGCAGCCGCCGUAA